GGGCGAAUAGCUCAGCGGUAGAGCAACCGGCUGCAGUCCGGUAGGUCAUGAGUUCAAUCCUCAUUUCGCCCU
Non-coding RNA from Cercophora sp. LCS_1, 72 nucleotides. NCBI's taxonomy places the organism in Eukaryota, Fungi, Ascomycota, Sordariomycetes, Sordariales, Lasiosphaeriaceae. The record is from the annotation of a GenBank genome assembly.